Molecule: ribosomal RNA, 265 nt
Filed under: uncultured archaeon
Lineage: Archaea
Description: partial 16S ribosomal RNA
Rfam family: Archaeal small subunit ribosomal RNA
Source: RNAcentral
AGUCACUGACAUUAGAUACCCGUGUAGUCCAGGGUGUAAACGCUGCAGACUUGGUGUUGGGAACCCUUCGGGGGUGCUCAGUGCCGGAGAGAAGUUGUUAAGUCUGCUACUUGGGGAGUACGUCCGCAAGGAUGAAACUUAAAGGAAUUGGCGGGGGAGCACCGCAACGGGAGGAGCGUGCGGUUUAAUUGGAUUCAACACCGUAAAACUCACCAGGGAAGACUGUUACAUGAAAGCCAAGUUGAAGACUCUGCUAGAUUUUCAG